GCGAACGCUAGCGGCGGGCUUAACACAUGCAAGUCGAGCGCAUGGCUUCGGCCAUGAGCGGCGGACGGGUGAGUAACACGUAGGUCAUCUGCCUUUUGGUGGGGAAUAACCCAAGGAAACUCGGGCUAAUACCGCAUACGGUCCACGGAUCAAAGCCUUCGGGCGCCAGAAGAUGAGCCUGCGUCGCAUUACCUAGUUGGCGGGGUAACGGCCCACCAAGGGGACGAUGCGUAGCUGGUCUGAGAGGAUGAUCAGCCACACUGGGACUGAGACACGGCCCAGACUCCUACGGGAGGCAGCAGUGGGGAAUAUUGCGCAAUGGGGGAAACCCUGACGCAGCCACGCCGCGUGGGUGAUGAAGGCCUUCGGGUUGUAAAGCCCUGUCGGGAGGGACGAAAACUGACGGUACCUCCCAAGAAAGCACCGGCUAACUCCGU
RNAcentral lists this ribosomal RNA (437 nucleotides) under uncultured bacterium. RNAcentral's name for it is "bacterial SSU rRNA". It matches the Rfam family "Bacterial small subunit ribosomal RNA", at positions 29 to 506 of the family's 1533-position model. The record is from RNAcentral.